Molecule: non-coding RNA, 27 nt
Filed under: Bombyx mori (domestic silkworm)
Lineage: Eukaryota; Metazoa; Arthropoda; Insecta; Lepidoptera; Bombycidae
Source: RNAcentral
UGUAAUCUAGUGGUACUUGUUGAGAGA